Molecule: ribosomal RNA, 483 nt
Filed under: uncultured bacterium
Lineage: Bacteria
Description: partial 16S ribosomal RNA
Rfam family: Bacterial small subunit ribosomal RNA
Source: RNAcentral
GACGAACGCUGGCGGCGUGCUUAACACAUGCAAGUCGAACGCUGAAGCUCAGCUUUUGUUGGGUGGAUGAGUGGCGAACGGGUGAGUAACACGUGAGUAACCUGCCCCCUUCUUUGGGAUAACGCCCGGAAACGGGUGCUAAUACUGGAUAUUCACUGGUCUUCGCAUGGGGGUUGGUGGAAAGGGUUUUUCUGGUGGGGGAUGGGCUCGCGGCCUAUCAGCUUGUUGGUGGGGUGAUGGCCUACCAAGGCUUUGACGGGUAGCUGGCCUGAGAGGGUGACCGGUCACAUUGGGACUGAGAUACGGCCCAGACUCCUACGGGAGGCAGCAGUGGGGAAUAUUGCACAAUGGGCGCAAGCCUGAUGCAGCGACGCCGCGUGAGGGAUGGAGGCCUUCGGGUUGUGAACCUCUUUCGCUCAUGGUCAAGCCGCAACAAUGGUUGUGGUGAGGGUAGUGGGUAAAGAAGCGCCGGCUAACUACGUG